Molecule: ribosomal RNA, 491 nt
Filed under: uncultured bacterium
Lineage: Bacteria
Description: partial 16S ribosomal RNA
Rfam family: Bacterial small subunit ribosomal RNA
Source: RNAcentral
AGUGAACGCUGGCGGUAGGCCUAACACAUGCAAGUCGAACGGCAGCACAGUAAGAGCUUGCUCUUACGGGUGGCGAGUGGCGGACGGGUGAGGAAUACAUCGGAAUCUACUUUUUCGUGGGGGAUAACGUAGGGAAACUUACGCUAAUACCGCAUGCGACCUACGGGUGAAAGCAGGGGAUCUUCGGACCUUGCGCGAUUGAAUGAGCCGAUGUCGGAUUAGCUAGUUGGCGGGGUAAAGGCCCACCAAGGCGACGAUCCGUAGCUGGUCUGAGGGGAUGAUCAGCCACACUGGAACUGAGACACGGUCCAGACUCCUACGGGAGGCAGCAGUGGGGAAUAUUGGACAAUGGGCGCAAGCCUGAUCCAGCCAUACCGCGUGGGUGAAGAAGGCCUGCGGGUUGUAAAGCCCUUUUGUUGGGAAAGAAAAGCAGCAGGUUAAUACCCCGCUGUUCUGACGGUACCCAAAGAAUAAGCACCGGCUAACUUCGU